RNAcentral lists this ribosomal RNA (1236 nucleotides) under Pantoea piersonii. Its description in RNAcentral is "partial 23S ribosomal RNA". It matches the Rfam family "Bacterial large subunit ribosomal RNA", at positions 1 to 1269 of the family's 2925-position model. The record is from RNAcentral. Lineage: Bacteria; Pseudomonadati; Pseudomonadota; Gammaproteobacteria; Enterobacterales; Erwiniaceae.
GGGUUGUGAGGUUAAGCGACUAAGCGUACACGGUGGAUGCCCUGGCAGUCAGAGGCGAUGAAGGACGUGCUAAUCUGCGAAAAGCGCCGGCAAGGUGAUAUGAACCGCUACAGCCGGCGAUGUCCGAAUGGGGAAACCCAGUGUGACUCGUCACACUAUCAUGUCAUGAAUACAUAGUGGCAUGAGGCGAACCGGGGGAACUGAAACAUCUAAGUACCCCGAGGAAAAGAAAUCAACCGAGAUUCCCCCAGUAGCGGCGAGCGAACGGGGAGCAGCCCAGAGCCUGAAUCAGCUUGUGCACUAGUGGAAGCGUCUGGAAAGUCGCAGGGUACAGGGUGAUACUCCCGUACACGAAAGUGCACAUGCUGUGAGCUCGAUGAGUAGGGCGGGACACGUGGUAUCCUGUCUGAAUAUGGGGGGACCAUCCUCCAAGGCUAAAUACUCCUGACUGACCGAUAGUGAACCAGUACCGUGAGGGAAAGGCGAAAAGAACCCCGGCGAGGGGAGUGAAACAGAACCUGAAACCGUGUACGUACAAGCAGUGGGAGCCUCUUUUAUGGGGUGACUGCGUACCUUUUGUAUAAUGGGUCAGCGACUUAUAUUCUGUAGCAAGGUUAACCGUAUAGGGGAGCCGCAGGGAAACCGAGUCUUAACUGGGCGUUAAGUUGCAGGGUAUAGACCCGAAACCCGGUGAUCUAGCCAUGGGCAGGUUGAAGGUUGGGUAACACUAACUGGAGGACCGAACCGACUAAUGUUGAAAAAUUAGCGGAUGACCUGUGGCUGGGGGUGAAAGGCCAAUCAAACCGGGAGAUAGCUGGUUCUCCCCGAAAGCUAUUUAGGUAGCGCCUCGUGAACUCAUCUUCGGGGGUAGAGCACUGUUUCGGCUAGGGGGCCAUCCCGGCUUACCAACCCGAUGCAAACUGCGAAUACCGAAGAAUGUUAUCACGGGAGACACACGGCGGGUGCUAACGUCCGUCGUGAAGAGGGAAACAACCCAGACCGCCAGCUAAGGUCCCAAAGUCAUGGUUAAGUGGGAAACGAUGUGGGAAGGCCCAGACAGCCAGGAUGUUGGCUUAGAAGCAGCCAUCAUUUAAAGAAAGCGUAAUAGCUCACUGGUCGAGUCGGCCUGCGCGGAAGAUGUAACGGGGCUAAACCAUGCACCGAAGCUGCGGCAGCAGUAGCGAUACUGUUGGGUAGGGGAGCGUUCUGUAAGCCGUUGAAGGUGGCCUGUGAGGG